GCCCGAGGGGCUUCCUUCACCACUGAGCUCAGUUGGUUAGAGUGUGGUGCUGAUAACAUCAAGGUUGCAGGUUCGAUCCCCAUAUGGGGCA
Non-coding RNA from Podarcis lilfordi (Lilford's wall lizard), 91 nucleotides. NCBI's taxonomy places the organism in Eukaryota, Metazoa, Chordata, Lepidosauria, Squamata, Lacertidae. The record is from the annotation of a GenBank genome assembly.